RNAcentral lists this ribosomal RNA (728 nucleotides) under Phyllachora panicicola. Its description in RNAcentral is "SSU rRNA". It matches the Rfam family "Eukaryotic small subunit ribosomal RNA", at positions 376 to 1110 of the family's 1831-position model. Lineage: Eukaryota; Fungi; Ascomycota; Sordariomycetes; Phyllachorales; Phyllachoraceae. The record is from RNAcentral.
CUCGACCCCGGAGAAGGAGCCUGAGAAACGGCUACUACAUCCAAGGAAGGCAGCAGGCGCGCAAAUUACCCAAUCCCAAUUCGGGGAGGUAGUGACAAUACAUACUGAUACAGGGCUCUUUUGGGUCUUGUAAUUGGAAUGAGUACAAUUUAAAUCCCUUAACGAGGAACAAUUGGAGGGCAAGUCUGGUGCCAGCAGCCGCGGUAAUUCCAGCUCCAAUAGCGUAUAUUAAAGUUGUUGAGGUUAAAAAGCUCGUAGUUGAACCUUGGGCCUGGCUGGCCGGUCCGCCUUACCGCGUGCACUGGUCCGGCCGGGUCUUUCCCUCUGGGGAGCCGCAUGCCCUUUAUUGGAUGUGCCGGGGAACCAGGACUUUUACUCUGAACAAAUCAGAUCGCUUAAAGAAGGCCUAUGCUCGAAUGUUCUAGCAUGGAAUAAUAGAAUAGGACGUGCGGUUCUAUUUUGUUGGUUUCUAGGACCGCCGUAAUGAUUAAUAGGGACAGUCGGGGGCAUCAGUAUUCAAUUGUCAGAGGUGAAAUUCUUGGAUUUAUUGAAGACUAACUACUGCGAAAGCAUUUGUCAAGGAUGUUUUCAUUAAUCAGGAACGAAAGUUAGGGGAUCGAAAACGAUCAGAUACCGUUGUAGUCUUAACCAUAAACUAUGCCGAUUAGGGAUCGGACGGUGUUAUUUUUUGACCCGUUCGGCACCUUACGAAAAAUCAAAAUGUUUGG